GCUAACUCCGGGCCAGCAGCCGCGUGAAGACGGAGGGGGCAAGGGUUAUCCGGAUUCACUGGGUUUAAAGGGUGCGUAGGUGGGUUGAUAAGUCAGUGGUGAAAGCUCCGAGCUUAACUUGGAAACUGCCAUUGAUACUGUCAGUCUUGAAUGUCGUAGAGGUAAGCGGAAUGUUGCAUGUAGCGGUGAAAUGCUUAGAUAUGUUACAGAACACCAAUUGCGAAGGCAGCUUACUAUGCGAUGAUUGACGCUGAGGCACGAAAGCGUGGGGAGCAAACAGGAUUAGAUACCCUAUUAGUC
RNAcentral lists this ribosomal RNA (300 nucleotides) under uncultured Veillonella sp. Its description in RNAcentral is "bacterial SSU rRNA". It matches the Rfam family "Bacterial small subunit ribosomal RNA", at positions 496 to 795 of the family's 1533-position model. The record is from RNAcentral. Lineage: Bacteria; Bacillati; Bacillota; Negativicutes; Veillonellales; Veillonellaceae.